RNAcentral lists this ribosomal RNA (412 nucleotides) under uncultured bacterium. Its description in RNAcentral is "bacterial SSU rRNA". It matches the Rfam family "Bacterial small subunit ribosomal RNA", at positions 355 to 775 of the family's 1533-position model. The record is from RNAcentral.
UCGAGGAUCUUCGGCAAUGGGCGCAAGCCUGACCGAGCGAUGCCGCGUGAGCGAUGAAGGCCUUCGGGUUGUAAAGCUCUUUAGUGGGGGAGAAAAGCCGAAAGGUGUGAUCUAUCCCAAAAAUAAGCUCGGGCUAAGUUCGUGCCAGCAGCCGCGGUAAGACGAACCGAGCGAACGUUAUUCGGAAUCACUGGGCUUAAAGGGUGCGUAGGCGGGCUGUCAAGUCUGGGGUGAAAUCCGGCAGCUUAACUGUCGAACUGCCUUAGAUACUGAUGGCCUCGAGGAAGGUAGGGGCAUGCGGAACUGUAGGUGGAGCGGUGAAAUGCGUUGAUAUCUACAGGAACUCCGGUGGCGAAAGCGGCGUGCUGGACCUUUUCUGACGCUGAGGCACGAAAGCUAGGGGAGCAAACGG